GAUGAACGCUCGCGGCAGGCCUAAUACAUGCAAGUCGAACGAGAUUAAGAGGCUUGCUUCUUAUGAAAGUGGCGCACGGGUGCGUAACGCGCAUGCAACCUACCUUAAUCAGGGGGAUAGCCCGAAGAAAUUCGGAUUAAGACCGCAUAAAAACACAGGAUAGCAUUAUCCAAUGUUCAAAUAUUUAUAGGAUUAAGAUGGGCAUGCGUGUCAUUAGCUAGUUGGCGGGGUAACGGCCCACCAAGGCGACGAUGACUAGGGGAUCUGAGAGGAUGACCCCCCACACUGGUACUGAGACACGGACCAGACUCCUACGGGAGGCAGCAGUAAGGAAUAUUGGUCAAUGGAGGGAACUCUGAACCAGCCAUGCCGCGUGCAGGAAGACAGCCCUCUGGGUCGUAAACUGCUUUUAUUCGGGAAUAAACCUUUCUACGUGUAGGAAGCUGAAUGUACCGAAGGAAUAAGGAUCGGCUAACUCCGUG
This 482-nucleotide ribosomal RNA is filed under the name uncultured bacterium. Its description in RNAcentral is "partial 16S ribosomal RNA". It matches the Rfam family "Bacterial small subunit ribosomal RNA", at positions 28 to 507 of the family's 1533-position model. The record is from RNAcentral.